GCCAAUACGAGAUCAUUUGGUUCUAACAAAUCUAGAAGUCCACUGGAUGUUGUAAUCUUGCAUCACUGAUUCUACCACCGUAACAUUUCGAGACGAAAGACUCUAAUCCGGCUGGUGUAUAUCCUAUUAGAACUUUUACAUGCAGUCAAUUAUAACAACACAAUUUUCGUACAUAUUUUUAAAUUCAUCAGGCAUGGUAGUUUGCACAAAUUCUUUACUGGGUCAAGUGACAAAGUCUUGACCUCUGAUGACCAAGUUUAAUAAUGUAGAACUAAAUAUUUUGGAAAUAGUUUUUCUACCAACUCCAAAGAGUACUCCUAAUGCUGAAAAGUUUGCCUCAACUUCUUUGUCCGCUGUCUUUCCUCCGAUUUUUCGCACAAAAAGUUAUUUUCUUGCUUUCUCUCAUAUUC
Long non-coding RNA from Belonocnema kinseyi, 410 nucleotides. RefSeq lists it as uncharacterized. NCBI's taxonomy places the organism in Eukaryota, Metazoa, Arthropoda, Insecta, Hymenoptera, Cynipidae. The record is from RefSeq and is a predicted model, not a curated record. The transcript is spliced from 3 exons.